This 253-nucleotide ribosomal RNA is filed under the name uncultured bacterium. Its description in RNAcentral is "partial 16S ribosomal RNA". It matches the Rfam family "Bacterial small subunit ribosomal RNA", at positions 524 to 776 of the family's 1533-position model. The record is from RNAcentral.
UACGAAGGGGGCUAGCGUUGCUCGGAAUGACUGGGCGUAAAGGGCGCGUAGGCGGAUGGCACAGUCAGAUGUGAAAUUCCCGGGCUUAACCUGGGGGCUGCAUUCGAGACUGCAUUGCUAGAGUAUGGGAGAGGGAAGUGGAAUUUCCGGUGUAGCGGUGAGAUGCGUAGAUAUCGGAAGGAACAUCAGUGGCGAAAGCGACUUCCUGGACCAAUACUGACGCUCAUGUGCGAAAGCGUGGGGAGCAAACAGG